This 253-nucleotide ribosomal RNA is filed under the name uncultured bacterium. RNAcentral's name for it is "partial 16S ribosomal RNA". It matches the Rfam family "Bacterial small subunit ribosomal RNA", at positions 524 to 776 of the family's 1533-position model. The record is from RNAcentral.
GACGUAGGGUGCGAGCGUUGUCCGGAAUUACUGGGCGUAAAGCGCGCGCAGGCGGCCCGCGAGGUGUCACGUGAAAGCCCCGGGCUCAACCCGGGAGGGUCGUGGCAAACCGGCGGGCUUGAGGCCGGUAGAGGUGGGUGGAACUCCUGGUGGAGUGGUGAAAUGCGUAGAGAUCAGGAAGAACACCCGUGGCGAAGGCGGCCCACUGGGCCGGUACUGACGCUGAGGCGCGAAGGCGUGGGGAGCGAACGGG